CAUCUAUAAUUGUAUCAGAGUAAAAACUUUUUGUCUCCUGAAAUUCAUUAAGUCAUAACUUCAAAGGAAAGAAAGAAUAAAAUUUUAAUCAAGUGUCAUAAAUCAUAACGUUCUUACUGUCACUACAAACGCAAUAACCAUAGCAUAAUUUAAUAAUGAUACACAAAUAAAUAAAAACAGAAGAAUAAUAAAAGAAAAAAAAAGGAAAAUAAGAAAAAUAUAAAUCGUAAACAUGCCGUCCUAUAAAAAAGCUGAUCCAUGCACUGGCGAACGAUCGAAAAAAGUAUUCUCAUGGUGUGAGAUCAUACAACAUGGUAUUAUGUAUUUAUUCUUCUGUGUCAUGAGAAUCAUACCACUGCUCUGCUAUCUCUGUCUUGGAGUCAGUUACAUAAUCUGCCAGAGCGUCUGUUGUUUUGUAUUCUGUUCAUGACUGGUAAAAUAUUUUUUCGAAUGAAUAAAAUGUAUUGAAAUUUA
This is a long non-coding RNA of Danaus plexippus (monarch butterfly), 474 nucleotides long. RefSeq lists it as uncharacterized. The record is from RefSeq and is a predicted model, not a curated record. The transcript is spliced from 2 exons. NCBI's taxonomy places the organism in Eukaryota, Metazoa, Arthropoda, Insecta, Lepidoptera, Nymphalidae.